UCUAGUCUACUGUACUGUA
This 19-nucleotide microRNA is filed under the name Gadus morhua (Atlantic cod). RNAcentral describes it as "gmo-miR-11186-5p". The record is from miRBase by way of RNAcentral. Lineage: Eukaryota; Metazoa; Chordata; Actinopteri; Gadiformes; Gadidae.